Long non-coding RNA from Lolium perenne, 553 nucleotides. RefSeq lists it as uncharacterized. NCBI's taxonomy places the organism in Eukaryota, Viridiplantae, Streptophyta, Magnoliopsida, Poales, Poaceae. The record is from RefSeq and is a predicted model, not a curated record.
CUCCGCGAGCUCCCGAAACCGCCGUCACGGCCAUCACGUGGUGCCGCCUCCACGAGUUCCCCAGAGUCCAGAUAGUAACCAUCGGAGCUCUGCCACGUCAUUCUCUUCAUCCCCACCAAAGGGAUCGAAGGGGGGCACCCGGAAUCAUUGAUAUCGACCUCGUCUUCCGCAACUCCGGCCUCCACGAUUCUUCGAUAGAGUCGUCGUCUCUGGCCAUCUCUGCCCCGUACGAUCUCUCCUAUCAUCUCCAAGAGGAAUUUGCCCUGCCCGAAGAUGGUUUCUACAUUGACAUGGACGAAUAGAUUGGGGUUCCCAGAUGGUUUCUACAUUGACAUGGACGAAUAGAUUGGGCUUCCCAGACAAUAGCCUAGGGCUGCAGAAUGGGAUGUUACCAUUCGUGCUGGCCUCUUAGGACUUUGUUAAAUUUGCCAUGUCUAAUAGCCUAAUUUUUUCUCGCUGCCAUGUAAUGUGAUGUUGGGUCAUGUGACCUAUGUGUGUAAUAAACUGCUAUUUUUACUCUGUUAAGAGUUUAUAUGAUUAUUGCUUUCAGUCA